Molecule: ribosomal RNA, 253 nt
Filed under: uncultured bacterium
Lineage: Bacteria
Description: partial 16S ribosomal RNA
Rfam family: Bacterial small subunit ribosomal RNA
Source: RNAcentral
UACGGAGGGAGCUAGCGUUGUUCGGAAUUACUGGGCGUAAAGCGCACGUAGGCGGCUUUGUAAGUUGGGGGUGAAAUCCCGGGGCUCAACCUCGGAAUUGCCUUCAAAACUGGAUAUCUUGAGUUCGGGAGAGGUGAGUGGAACUCCGAGUGUAGAGGUGAAAUUCGUAGAUAUUCGGAAGAACACCAGUGGCGAAGGCGACUCACUGGCCCGAUACUGACGCUGAGGCGCGAAAGCGUGGGGAGCAAACAGG